Molecule: ribosomal RNA, 36 nt
Filed under: Chenopodium ugandae
Lineage: Eukaryota; Viridiplantae; Streptophyta; Magnoliopsida; Caryophyllales; Amaranthaceae
Source: RNAcentral
GGUGACCUCCUGGGAAGUCCUCUUGUUGCACCCCUU